AGUAGUUCGACGUCCGUGACUACGAGACGACGCUGGCGGCGUGCUUCAAACAUGCAAGUCGAACGGAGUUAAUUUAGCUUGCUAAAUUAACUUAGUGCGGACUGGUGAGUAACGCGUGAGUAAUCUGCCUAUUACAGGGGGAUAACAGUUGGAAACGACUGCUAAUACCGCAUAAGACCACGGGAAGGCAUCUUCAAGGGGUCAAAGGGAUACUGGUAAUAGAUGAGCUUGCGUAUCAUUAGCUAGAUGGUGAGGGUAAAGGCCCACCAUGGCGACGAUGAUUAGCCGAUCUGAGAGGAUGACCGGCCACACUGGAACUGAGAUACGGUCCAGACUCCUACGGGAGGCAGCAGUUAGGAAUAUUGGGCAAUGGAGGAAACUCUGACCCAGCAACGCCGCGUGAAGGAAGAAGGUUUUCGGAUUUGUAAACUUCUGAUCUUGGGGAAAAAGAAAGUGAUGGUACCCAAGGAGAAAGCCACGGCUAACUACGUG
RNAcentral lists this ribosomal RNA (492 nucleotides) under uncultured Eubacteriales bacterium. RNAcentral describes it as "bacterial SSU rRNA". It matches the Rfam family "Bacterial small subunit ribosomal RNA", at positions 1 to 507 of the family's 1533-position model. Lineage: Bacteria; Bacillati; Bacillota; Clostridia; Eubacteriales. The record is from RNAcentral.